AUGGUGGUCGCGAACAGGGCUCCAGGGCACUGCCUACGGCCAGCUCCAAACGGGAUGAACUCCAUGUGCGGCCCUUGUGAGUUGUACUCCACGCUCACGCCCUCGAACCUCUCCGGCCUGAAUUCCGCGGCGUCCGCUCCCCAGUGCGCCGUGUCGCUCCCCACGGCGAAGGCGUUUAUCAUGACGGCGGUGCCCUUGGGUAUGUCGUAG
This 210-nucleotide ribosomal RNA is filed under the name Triticum aestivum (bread wheat). RNAcentral's name for it is "partial small subunit ribosomal RNA". Lineage: Eukaryota; Viridiplantae; Streptophyta; Magnoliopsida; Poales; Poaceae. The record is from RNAcentral.